RNAcentral lists this ribosomal RNA (479 nucleotides) under uncultured bacterium. RNAcentral's name for it is "partial 16S ribosomal RNA". It matches the Rfam family "Bacterial small subunit ribosomal RNA", at positions 28 to 523 of the family's 1533-position model. The record is from RNAcentral.
GACGAACGCUGGCGGCGUGCUUAACACAUGCAAGCCGAGCGAUGAAGCACCUUCGGGUGUGAAUUAGCGGCGAACGGGUGAGGAACACGUGAGAAAUCUGCCUUCAACACUGGGAUAGCUCCGGGAAACCGGGGCUAAUACCGGAUAUGAAACCUGCGGGCAUCCGCGGGUUUGGAAAGUUUUUCGGUUGAAGAUGAUCUCGCGGCCUAUCAGCUUGUUGGUGAGGUAAUGGCUCACCAAGGCGACGACGGGUAGCCGGCCUGAGAGGGCGACCGGCCACACUGGGACUGAGACACGGCCCAGACUCCUACGGGAGGCAGCAGUGGGGAAUAUUGGGCAAUGGAGGAAACUCUGACCCAGCGACGCCGCGUGCGGGAUGAAGGCCUUCGGGUUGUAAACCGCUUUCAUCAGGGAAGAAGCGAAAGUGACGGUACCUGCAGAAGAAGCACCGGCUAACUAUGUGCCAGCCGCCGCAGUAA